This 2714-nucleotide long non-coding RNA is filed under the name Anthonomus grandis grandis. Its description in RNAcentral is "uncharacterized LOC126738118". Lineage: Eukaryota; Metazoa; Arthropoda; Insecta; Coleoptera; Curculionidae. The record is from RNAcentral.
ACAGUCAUAGUGAAUUGCCAAAGGCAAAUAGGUUUUUGGAAAUAUCUCAAUUUCUAUUAGUCAAAUCAAGAAAUGUGUGAAGUAAAAAGUUGUAGCCCAGGCCUUUCUCUAUAAGACUGUUUCUAAGCAUUUUUUUUCUAAACUCAAUAUUUAUUAAGAAAUUUUGAUUUUUUUGACCUGCUUUCCAAAUGACGAUUCAUCUGCUGCUAGUGAGCAGGUUUUUCCAGAAUAUCUCAGUUUUUAGAGGUCAAAUGAAGAAAUGUGCAGAGUUAAAAAUUGUAGCUCAGGCCUUUUUAUAUAAAAGUGUUCCUAAACAUUUUUCUUGUAAACUCACUAUUUUUCAAGAAAUGUUGAAUUUUUUGACUGGCUUUCCCGAUCGCAUAUUCAUUUUCUGCCAACGUAAUCGACCCUUCGGCUAAAAUCGCAAAUGUUCGAGCCUACCGUUUGCAAAAUAUGAUUAAAUUGGACUAACGUUGGCAGAUUAUAUUCCAUGCCGCCCGAAGUAUGCCAUAGUUUGUUUACAUAUUAUUCACUUAGAAUUUGGCGGUUAAUGUUAUAGGCUGGUAAAAAUUGUUUAAAAAUUGAACAUUUUGUCUAUCCAGAGGCCUCAAGAGUACAAUUAUUUUGAUGUCAGCCAAAGUGAAUUCAGAAUUAACAUUAAUACUGAAGAAGAAGUAGAUAAAUGGGUAACCGAAUUAGGAGAAAUAACAAAAGUUACUUGGCGAGCUACGACGACUGUUAGAACACCUUUGAAAAAAUCUAAAAAAAAAACAUAUUUAGACGCUAUUUUCAAAGUUAAACAAUCGCGUACAACAAAGAAGUCUCGUAAUAUUGACUAUCCUGCCAAAAUGAAAAUUGUAUUAGAAAAGCCUAUGGAUAAUGCAAGUACAUGGUCCUGCGUUGUAAAUGUUUAUGAAGAACAUACUCACACCAUAGAAAGUGGAGCAGCCUUGUUGAAAAGACCUAUAGGCAACGAAACAAAAAAAUAUAUUUUUGAACUUUUUGAGAAAGGACAUACUGCUGCAACUGCCUAUCACACAUACACUAGUAUCAAGAUGGAAGAAAUAGGGGACAACUACGAAAAAAUGAUUUUAGACCGGCACUUUUUCCCGACCAAAACUGAUUUUUCCAACUUAUGGGCUGAACAUUUCAAAAAAAACUAUGGAGAAGACAUGCUCCUAACUUGAGAAAAUAAUUUAAUGAAAAGUAAAAGUACUCUUUCUAAAAUUAUUCGUAUUGGUGAUCAUUAUGCGGUUUGUUUAUGCACACCAAUAAUGCAACGAGCUGGUCAGUACCUUACACAGGCCUCAGAAAUUUUAUUUGUUGAUGCAUCAGGAAACUGCGACCUGCAAAAUCACAAGAUUUAUUUUUUUGCAACGCAGUCUCCAGCAGGAGGCAUUCCAGUUGGAUGUAUCAUCUCUAGUAGUCAGAAACAAGAGUUAUUUGAUGAAGCAGUUGAGAAUUUGAAGGCCUCGAAAAAUUUCUUCAAAAAUAAUAUUAACCGAUGAUGAUGUCAGUGAAAGAAGUAUUUUAAAAAAACAUUGGCCACAGGCAGAGCUUUUGCUGUGUUCUUUUCACGUGUUAAAGGCAGUAUGGAGGUGGCUGACUGUAUCGAAAAUUAUCCACAAUUGGCAAUAUACAUUCAGAAUAUGAUAGAUACGAAAAUUCAUGCGUGGUGCUUCUAUUAUAGACAAACACUAAUGACUCGAGGCUCAGACACUAAUAAUUACAUAGAGGUUAUGUUCAGGUUGUUCAAGGACAUUCCAUUAGAAAAAACAAAAGCCUUUAAUCUAACACAGCUAACAGAUUUUGUCAUUACGAACUUUGAAGCGUAUUACAAACAGAGAAUAUUUGAUAUAAUUCUAAAUAGAGAACGUCAAAGUAGAUUAAGGCAUUUAUGCCCUGACGAGAAAAACGUUUCCUUGGAUAAAAUAAAAUGUUUAAAUGUAACAGAUAAUAUUGUUCAGGGCUCUUCAGAUUCUGAUGUUCACUAUUUUGUAAUGUUUUAUAGUGUAGUAAGUCUGCGGUUAUAAAAUUUUUUCAUGUUGUUGAUGUAGUAAAUACGUUGACCACUACCACUAAAAAAAUUAUGUAUGAAAUUGCAACCAAUAUGAAACCUUCUGCGCAAACAUUUGCCCCACUGAUUUUGGAAAAAUUGAAGAAAAUUGAUGACGUUGAUAUUAAUCCUAUCUGUACCCCUCAAACUACCGACAUACAAAUUAUGGAUGGUAUACAACAAGACGAAAAAGAAAAUCUGUUUCAGGAAUCUGGAACAAUUAUUAGUGUUAACAAUAUAUCCGAAGAGGAUGUAAAAGACGUCAAUAGAGAUUGGAAAUUGUUGAAAAAGUAAUGGACCAUUUGAAUAAUGACCCAGUUAAUUUUUAUCCAACAAUUAAAACGUUUCUGCAUAAUUCCCAGCUUUACGGUAGAAGUUCUGGUUCUUUAAUGUCAGGGCUUUACAAAGCUUUCAAAUAUCAGGGUGUAAAUACGAAAAAUAGACAAUUCGUAUCCAGAAAAGGGAAGAAAAUUGCUGUGCAGCCAACUGCUGUUGCAAGAAGAAAAACAUCAAUGAGUGGACGCAGAAAUCAGUGUUGGUUAAGCGCAAACUCAAGGCUCCUCACUCACUACAAGCAUGUGUUGACAAUAAUAUUGCUUUAAGUGUUAAUAAAUUCAAAAAAUAAUGUAUUAUUUUUUAAAUUAAUUUUAUUUGUUUA